UGCACGAUUUCGCGUGAUGGUUCCGCCAAACAUGACGCGCGGCGGAUGAAAAGGGAACACGGUGAGGAUUACCCAUCAGGGACCGAGACCGUGGCUGCCCCCGCAACUGUGAGCGGCGAGCGCACCUCUACGAGCCACUGGCCGGACGGCUGGGAAGGCGAGGGCGCGCAACGCGCCGCAAGCCAGGAGACCUGCCAUCGGACCGGGCCCAGC
RNAcentral lists this non-coding RNA (213 nucleotides) under Polymorphum gilvum. Lineage: Bacteria; Pseudomonadati; Pseudomonadota; Alphaproteobacteria; Rhodobacterales; Paracoccaceae. RNAcentral also lists the same sequence under 1 other name. The record is from RNAcentral.